GGAGAGGUGGCUGAGUGGUUAAUAGCCCCGGUCUUGAAAACCGGUAUAGUUUGAAACAAAGAACUAUCGAGGGUUCGAAUCCCUCUCUCUCCU
Molecule: transfer RNA, 93 nt
Filed under: Gynochthodes parvifolia
Lineage: Eukaryota; Viridiplantae; Streptophyta; Magnoliopsida; Gentianales; Rubiaceae
Also listed under: 2 other names
Description: tRNA-Ser
Rfam family: tRNA
About the family: Transfer RNA (tRNA) molecules are approximately 80 nucleotides in length. Their secondary structure includes four short double-helical elements and three loops (D, anti-codon, and T loops).
Source: RNAcentral